Esox lucius (northern pike) is the source of this 1148-nucleotide long non-coding RNA. RefSeq lists it as uncharacterized. The transcript is spliced from 3 exons. NCBI's taxonomy places the organism in Eukaryota, Metazoa, Chordata, Actinopteri, Esociformes, Esocidae. The record is from RefSeq and is a predicted model, not a curated record.
GAAGAGUGAUGAGGUGAAUAAUCCAGCAGAAGUGAAGACACAGACGAUCAGGAGCGUAAACAGGCUGAACCGUUUCUUCUGCAGUAUGCCACGUAAUGUCCAAGAGAUUGUCUUGUUGGUCCUGAAAUGAAUGCGACAACCCCUCGCAAAGUGAACAGCUGAUUGUCCAGCUCCAUGUGGACCGGGAUUUCCGAAAGUGGAUGGUUUGUAUCCAUACUUGUUUCGAUACACAACAGUUGUCCAGUUAUGCAUCUGUGUGUUACCGAGCCAUUACAGAGGAAUUUCACUGAUUGAUCAUCCUUAACUUUCCAGCUGUCUGGACACUCUUGGGGUGAUUUCAGUGGCUUCAAGCAUUUGGACCUGUUGAGGUGUAGACCAUCUUCCAGCGCUGCUUGGAGGCUCUUCAGUCCACCAGUUUGUAAAAUAUCUACAUUUACUGGUAGGAGAUAGAUGGUCCUAGACGAUUUCGUAUGUCGGCUGCAGUAUGGAGAAGAGCACUCAGCUGUAAGUGUUGCACUUGGCAUUUCUUUCAUUGUGGAAGCGAUAAUGUCUGCAACAUUGCAAUCCGCAUUGACCUGCCUCACACCUGAUUUUAGGUGAACACACUCAAAUGUAUCCAACAGCAUUUUUGCCCUCUUUGCAUAAGCCUCUUUUGCAACUCCUUUUGUCACUAUGGUCUUUACUAAAUCAACCAUGUCAGUUUGCUCUCUGUUGAGAUAAUGACAAAAUGACCCACUGUCGCAGAAUGCAGAGCAAAGGCACUGGCAAAAGGAAUCAAAGGCACAGGUUUAUGUCUGCAUGCAACCACUCAGAGCAAGGGGUCAAGUAGGACAGUCGCUUUUUUGGAGGAACACCGAGGCCUUUCCAGUUUUCAACAGGGUCUUCCUCCACUGACUGUUGCUUAACCUCUGUGUCCUGCUCACUAUGGGCCGUUUUUGUCUUCUGAUUCUUUGUCUCAGUGUGCUCUGUCUUCACCGGUGCAGAGGAAAGCCUCAUGUUUCCCUCAAGAAACUCAAGGUGGCGUAUGACAAAACGGUCAAUUCGGAUGGGGAGACUUUCAUGUUUGAAAAGACCAUGUUUUAUGUUUUUAAAUUCAGCCUCAACAUUUUCAGAGCUUGCUGUGUUGUGUACACUUUUGAAGUGUGGAA